Myotis lucifugus (little brown bat) is the source of this 76-nucleotide non-coding RNA. Lineage: Eukaryota; Metazoa; Chordata; Mammalia; Chiroptera; Vespertilionidae. The record is from Rfam.
GGCAGUUCUUGGGUGAUACACCCCGGAAUCGGGCUCCCUCCUCCCUGGUUCCAGGGUGCGUCACCCAAGAACUGCU